Molecule: long non-coding RNA, 1769 nt
Filed under: Equus caballus (horse)
Lineage: Eukaryota; Metazoa; Chordata; Mammalia; Perissodactyla; Equidae
Description: lncRNA (ENSECAG00000058404.1)
Source: RNAcentral
GGGCAUUAAACACGUCGCUUGACCAUAACCCACAACUAGUAAACAAGAAAGUAAGAAUCUGCUCAGUUUUGUCAACUCCAGAACUCCUGCUGGACCCCACUAUGCUGAACCACCCCCUAAGUGCAUAAAGGCAGCCUGCACACCUAAGAGAUCGUAAUGAACUUAUCAGUUCCCUGGGAUCUUGUAGAGUGACAAGAAGCCCUGCUGGAACCCUGAGGGCAGGUCAUGACAACAUCACUUCUUUUGAAAAUGUGGAGCAGAGUUCUGCUUAUCAGUUACCAACCAUAUAAGGAUACCAAUACUUUCUGUUCUUUGUUCAGAAUCAAGAAAGGGACACAGGAGCAUCAAAUCUGACAUGCAGCAAGUUCCUCCUGCCUGCAGCCCUGAGAAACUGUGAGAGUUACGUAGUUAAAAGUGAACAUUGAAAAAGACUCAGAAUAAAUACUAACUCAAUCAUGACAGCUGUGCCAGGGGAAAGCACAUGGUAGUUACCAGAAGGACGAGAGCAUCAGAUGAGAAAGCCAGCAAGCCCAGUUCUGUUCAUGGCUGUGACACCAAAUAGAUAACUUUGGACAACCUUAUGUCACUCGCUUAGUUUCUUCAUCUGUCAAAGGCAGCUAAUCAUGUGGCCUAUAGUUAUUAUGAGGAGCAAACAAAAUAAUGGGAAUGAUCAUAGAAAACUAUCAUAAAAAUACAAGUUAGUCUAAUGGUUUAAUGAGAUAAUACACCUUAUUCUAGGCAAAUUCUACUCAACCACAACAUUAUGUUGAUUUGCAACUACAGAUCAGCUGAGCCAUCCAUGUAAAAUUGGAAAAUGCAAAUAUUAAACAUGAGUAUUUAAACAGAAGUGAGAGAAACAGUGAAGCAGCAUUUAUGGAGAGCAGCUUCAUGUGCUGAAUCAGCUUUCAUCCCAAUGACAUGGAAUACCUGUUGUUUUCACGGAUAAAGUAUAUCAAACUCGUGGAAAAGUAUUGAUAUUUUAAAAGAAAUGUUUUCAAUUAACAUUAAAUUCUGCAUGGUGCAACGUUUUUAAAGAGGAGCUAGUACAAGGAGCAAAUAAAUUGAUUUUCAAGUCUAAAAGCUUAAAAAUUUAAAAAGCCAGAUUUGAAACAGUAAAAUAGUAGGCUGUAGAAUACACAUAAGUUUGCACAUUUCCAGUUCUAGAAAGGCCUAACACUUUCACAUGCCUUUCUCAUAUUUUCUAAAGCCUCCUCUGGUCCCUGGUACCAGCCAGGGCUGGUGGUGCCAUCCACACAGUGAUCUCUGAGCCCAAAUCAUGAACCAGAGGGGCUUCAGUCCUCAUUUCUCCUCUUUGGGGUACACGCCGAUCCUUUUCCCAGGAUGUGAAGUCAACAAAAUGCCUGAGGAGCUCUGGGACUCAUGCUAAUGGAGUUGUCCUGUACCCAGAUAUGUUCCCCAUUCCAGAAGGACAGCCGGAUGAGUGGAAAACUCCUGAUACUCAGCACAGCAUGUCUUUUUUCAGGAUCAUGUGAGAUUGGACUGCCAUAAUGGCACCUACAAGCAGCAGAUGUUGGUUGACUCUAUCACUAGACAGAGAGAUAUGAAAUUAGCCAGGAGCGAUGCAUUUGACAGUACAGAACAUGAAGAGAUGGUUCCUGAACCGGAGCAGGAAGAGACAAUGCUUGGAUACUAUUGGGAAAGACCUUCUGCUGUGGGCCCUGAGCAAUCCUGCACAUUGUUGCUCUGUGUGCCAGAUUACAAGGUUUAUCCAUCUCCUGAUACUGAUCCCAGGUUCUGUAACUAGUCAC